Molecule: long non-coding RNA, 391 nt
Filed under: Solanum lycopersicum (tomato)
Lineage: Eukaryota; Viridiplantae; Streptophyta; Magnoliopsida; Solanales; Solanaceae
Description: partial TCONS_00147952
Source: RNAcentral
CGAUCAUUCUUUUCUGAGUGAACUAGAAAGUUCUUUUUAUAGUUAUCGAAACUCGAGUUAUCUGAAUAAUGGAUUUAGGGGCGAAGAUCCCUACUAUAAUUCUUACAUGUCUUACAUGUAUGAUACUCAAUAUAGUUGGAAUAAUCACAUUAAUAGUUGCAUUGAUAAUUAUCUUCAGUCUCAAAUCUGUAUAGAUACUUCCAUUAUAAGUGGUAGUGAGAGUAACGGUGACAGUUACAUUUAUAGGGCCAUUUGUAGUGGUCAAAGUCUAAAUAGUAGUGAAAACGAGGGUUCCAGUAGACGAACUCGCACAAAGGACAGUGAUUUAACUAUAAGAGAAAGUUCUAAUGAUCUCGAGGUAACUCAAAAAUACAAGCAUUUGUGGGUUCAA